AGAGUUUGAUCAUGGCUCAGGAUGAACGCUGGCGGCGUGCCUAAUACAUGCAAGUCGAGCGAACUGAUUAGAAGCUUGCUUCUAUGACGUUAGCGGCGGACGGGUGAGUAACACGUGGGCAACCUGCCUGUAAGACUGGGAUAACUUCGGGAAACCGAAGCUAAUACCGGAUAGGAUCUUCUCCUUCAUGGGAGAUGAUUGAAAGAUGGUUUCGGCUAUCACUUACAGAUGGGCCCGCGGUGCAUUAGCUAGUUGGUGAGGUAACGGCUCACCAAGGCAACGAUGCAUAGCCGACCUGAGAGGGUGAUCGGCCACACUGGGACUGAGACACGGCCCAGACUCCUACGGGAGGCAGCAGUAGGGAAUCUUCCGCAAUGGACGAAAGUCUGACGGAGCAACGCCGCGUGAGUGAUGAAGGCUUUCGGGUCGUAAAACUCUGUUGUUAGGGAAGAACAAGUACCGGAGUAACUGCCUGUACCUUGACGGUACCUAACCAGAAAGCCACGGCUAACUACGUGCUAGCCGCCGCGGUAAUC
RNAcentral lists this ribosomal RNA (536 nucleotides) under uncultured bacterium. Its description in RNAcentral is "bacterial SSU rRNA". It matches the Rfam family "Bacterial small subunit ribosomal RNA", at positions 8 to 525 of the family's 1533-position model. The record is from RNAcentral.